RNAcentral lists this ribosomal RNA (401 nucleotides) under uncultured microorganism. RNAcentral describes it as "bacterial SSU rRNA". It matches the Rfam family "Bacterial small subunit ribosomal RNA", at positions 9 to 414 of the family's 1533-position model. The record is from RNAcentral.
GAGUUUGAUCUUGGCUCAGAUUGAACGCUGGCGGCAUGCCUUACACAUGCAAGUCGAACGGUAACAGGUCUUCGGAUGCUGACGAGUGGCGAACGGGUGAGUAAUACAUCGGAACGUGCCCGAUCGUGGGGGAUAACGGAGCGAAAGCUUUGCUAAUACCGCAUACGAUCUACGGAUGAAAGCAGGGGACCGCAAGGCCUUGCGCGGACGGAGCGGCCGAUGGCAGAUUAGGUAGUUGGUGGGAUAAAAGCUUACCAAGCCGACGAUCUGUAGCUGGUCUGAGAGGACGACCAGCCACACUGGGACUGAGACACGGCCCAGACUCCUACGGGAGGCAGCAGUGGGGAAUUUUGGACAAUGGGCGAAAGCCUGAUCCAGCCAUGCCGCGUGCAGGAUGAAGG